This is an RNA transcript of Rhododendron vialii, 1492 nucleotides long. It is a transcript of the gene named protein yippee-like At4g27745, with no coding region annotated. Lineage: Eukaryota; Viridiplantae; Streptophyta; Magnoliopsida; Ericales; Ericaceae. The transcript has 4 exons. The record is from RefSeq and is a predicted model, not a curated record.
AGUCUCGUUAUUUAAUAAUAUAAUACAUUUUUGUCCAUGAAGCAAUACCCUUGUCGCUUUUUUUAUUCCAAAUUGGUCUAACCUUGCACGCUAACUCUAGAUUUUCUUCAUCUUUGGUGCAGAAUCUUGGCUAAUUACUAGCUUUGGUGCAAGGAAGGUGUUUGGAGCUGAAUUAUACGGCUUGUAAUGGCAGAAUUGUUUGGGCCUCGCUUGUAUAGCUGUUAUAAAUGUCGAAAUCAUGUCUCGCUUCACGAUGAUAUUGUGUCCAAGGCUUUUCAGGGAAGACAUGGUCGAGCCUUCUUGUUCUCUCAUGCGAUGAACAUUGUUGUUGGCCCCAAAGAAGAUAGGCAGCUCAUGACUGGUCUUCACACGGUUGCAGAUAUCUGUUGCCGGGAUUGCCGUGAAGUGUUGGGGUGGAAGUAUGAAAGAGCUUAUGUGGCAACACAGAAGUACAAGGAAGGGAAGUUCAUAAUUGAGAAGUCAAAAAUUGUGAAGGAGAACUGGUAGCCUUUUGACAGGGUAACCCUUAAUUUAUCUCAUUGUCGUCGGAUUGGAAUGUGUAACUUGGAAUCCAUCCGAAUGCAAUGAAAAGGAAUCUACAAACCCAUCACAGAAAAAUAUACAUGAAAACACAAGGACAAAGAGACAGGCUAGUGUCUAGAUCCUAUGCCGAGCCAAAGCUCAAACCACACUGCCUCAAAGGGUCGGGUCACGUGGCGUAGUAAUCUGUCCACCAAGUUGCCUCGGGCAGGCGUGGAAACCCAAACAAAGACAGCAACCAAGCUCCGAUGGAAACAGACUGAACACAAGCAGGACGGUUGCUGCGCCGCCUUGGGUAGCCCCAAUAAGCACGCUGGCCUGCUCCGACCGUUGGAUGCACGCCUGAUGCCACCUGAUGCAUGGACGGACCAAAGCCGAAGCAAUGGAGUUAUAAACUCCGGCGAGCCCUCGCUGGCACGACAGGCUCCGGGCACGACGAAUGGAAAAGAAAUCCUCCUGGCUAAAAUUUCAAACCACACGUGACCACGGUGGCCGAUGAAACGGGGUACCGCAGCUUACCUAUUCAAUCCCAACAGCUGAAAACUGACAAACCCUCCACGGGCCAAGCCCAGGAGUAUUAUUCUCCCACCUCCAGCACCCAUCAAACCUGAAGAAACAGGCUGAUACACGGCCGAACUGGAAGAUCCAGCCGCAAAAACUGGACUAGCCGGUGAAAGCUAACAAAGAAAAACCGAAAAAACGAGCUCCAAGACCGUCGAUGGUACACCACGCCGCACGAGCCGCUAGAAGCAAAGCCACGCCGAACAGAGUGGGUCAAACUGGAAUCUACGGUGCCGGAUGAGAGGAGGAAAGGCAGAUCCAGGGCCAGCGGUCUCGGAAAUGGGUGGGGUUCUAACUGGAGAAAGUUUUUAGAGGGAGAAAGAAGAGAGAGAGCGCACAGCAUUACAAAUUUUUUUAAUUGUGUUACAAUUGAUGUUCUCCAGUUCCCUUA